Long non-coding RNA from Pogonomyrmex barbatus (red harvester ant), 138 nucleotides. Lineage: Eukaryota; Metazoa; Arthropoda; Insecta; Hymenoptera; Formicidae. The record is from RefSeq and is a predicted model, not a curated record.
GACAUUUCGUAUAAAAACGCGGACCGAUCAGGCUGAUGGCACACUCGAUCCAAAACUACCACGAGAUACAAUGAGGAGCUUCGCGAUUGUAUUGUUGGCAACCGCCGUGUUGGCGGCCUCGAAGGAAGACUCGAAAAA